CCGGGCGCGGCUGCGGGCCUUGCGAGCCCCCCUGCCUCUGCGGCCUAGCGCCCGGCGCCGCCUGCCGCGUCAACUGCUCGGGCCGCGGGCCGCGGGCUGCGGACGCUCGGUCCCGCGCUGCGCAUCCCCGCGGACGCCACAGCGCUAGACGUCUCCCACAACCUGCUCCGGGCGCUGGACGUUGGGCUCCUGGCGAACCUCUCGGCGCUGGCAGAGCUGGAUAUAAGCAACAACAAGAUUUCUACGUUAGAAGAAGGAAUAUUUGCUAAUUUAUUUAAUUUAAGUGAAAUAAACCUGAGUGGGAACCCGUUUGAGUGUGACUGUGGCCUGGCGUGGCUGCCGCGAUGGGCGGAGGAGCAGCAGGUGCGGGUGGUGCAGCCCGAGGCAGCCACGUGUGCUGGGCCUGGCUCCCUGGCUGGCCAGCCUCUGCUUGGCAUCCCCUUGCUGGACAGUGGCUGUGGUGAGGAGUAUGUCGCCUGCCUCCCUGACAACAGCUCAGGCACCGUGGCAGCAGUGUCCUUUUCAGCUGCCCACGAAGGCCUGCUUCAGCCAGAGGCCUGCAGCGCCUUCUGCUUCUCCACCGGCCAGGGCCUCGCAGCCCUCUCGGAGCAGGGCUGGUGCCUGUGUGGGGCGGCCCAGCCCUCCAGUGCCUCCUUCGCCUGCCUGUCCCUCUGCUCCGGCCCCCUGCCGCCUCCUGCCCCCACCUGUAGGAGCCCCACCCUCCUCCAGCACGUCUUCCCUGCCUCCCCAGGGGCCGCCCUGGUGGGGCCCCACGGACCCCUGGCCUCCGGCCAGCUAGCAGCCUUCCACAUCGCUGCCCCGCUCCCUGUCACUGCCACAUGCUGGGACUUUGGAGACGGCUCCCCCGAGGUGGAUGCCGCUGGGCCGGCUGCCUCGCAUCGCUAUGUGCUGCCUGGGCGCUAUCACGUGACGGCCGUGCUGGCCCUGGGGACCGGCUCAGCCCUGCUGGGGACAGACGUGCAGGUGGAAGCGGCACCUGCCGCCCUGAAGCUCGUGUGCCCGUCCUCGGUGCAGAGUGACGAGAGCCUCGACCUCAGCAUCCAGAACCGCGGUGGUUCAGGCCUGGAGGCCGCCUACAGCAUCGUGGCCCUGGGCGAGGAGCCGGCCCGAGCGGUGCACCCGCUCUGCCCCUCGGACACGGAGAUCUUCUCUGGCAAUGGGCACUGCUACCGCCUGGUGGUGGAGAAGGCGGCCUGGCUGCAGGCGCAGGAGCAGUGUCGGGCCUGGGCCGGGGCCACCCUGGCAAUGGUGGACAGUCCCGCCGUGCAGCGCUUCCUGGUCUCCCGGGUCACCAGGAGCCUAGACAUGUGGAUCGGCUUCUCGACUGUGCAGGGGGUGGAGGUGGGCCCAGCGCCGCAGGGCGAGGCCUUCAGCCUGGAGAGCUGCCAGAACUGGCUGCCCGGGGAGCCACACCCAGCCACAGCUGAGCACUGCGUCCGGCUCGGGCCCACCGGGUGGUGUAACACCGACCUGUGCUCAGCGCCGCACAGCUACGUCUGCGAGCUGCGGCCUGGAGGCCCAGUGCAGGAUGCCGAGAACCUCCUCGUGGGAGCGCCCAGUGGGGACCUGUAGGGACCCCUGAUGCCUCUGGCACGGCAGUACGGCCUCUCAGCCCCGCACGAGCCCCUGGAGGUCAUGGUAUUCCCGGGCCUGCGUCUGAGCCGUGAAGCCUUCCUCACCACGGCCGAAUUUGGGACCCAGGAGCUCCGGCGGCCCGCCCAGCUGCGGCUGCAGGUGUACCGGCUCCUCAGCACAGCAGGGACCCCGGAGAACGGCAGCGAGCCUGAGAGCAGGUCCCCGGACAACAGGACCCAGCUGGUCCCCGCGUGCAUGCCAGGGGGACGCUGGUGCCCUGGAGCCAACAUCUGCUUGCCGCUGGACGCCUCCUGCCACCCCCAGGCCUGCGCCAAUGGCUGCACGUCAGGGCCAGGGCUACUCGGGUCCCCCUAUGCGCUAUGGAGAGAGUUCCUCUUCUCCGUUCCCGCGGGGCCCCCCGCGCAGUACUCGGUCACCCUCCACGGCCAGGAUGUCCUCAUGCUCCCUGGUGACCUCGUUGGCUUGCAGCACGACGCUGGCCCUGGCGCCCUCCCGCACUGCUCGCCGGCUCCCGGCCACCCUGGUCCCCAGGCCCCGUACCUCUCCGCCAACGCCUCGUCAUGGCUGCCCCACUUGCCAGCCCAGCUGGAGGGCACUUGGGCCUGCCCUGCCUGUGCCCUGCGGCUGCUUGCAGCCACGGAACAGCUCACCGUGCUGCUGGGCCUGAGGCCCAACCCUGGGCUGCGGCUGCCUGGGCGCUAUGAGGUCCGGGCAGAGGUGGGCAAUGGCGUGUCCAGGCACAACCUGUCCUGCAGCUUUGACGUGGUCUCCCCAGUGGCUGGGCUGCGGGUCAUCUACCCUGCCCCCCGCGACGGCCGCCUCUACGUGCCCACCAACGGCUCAGCCUCGGUGCUCCAGGUGGACUCUGGUGCCAGCGCCACGGCCACGGCUUGCUGGCCUGGGGGCAGUGUCAGCGCCCGCUUUGAGAAUGCCUGCCCUGCCCUGGUGGCCACCUUCGUGCCCGGCUGCCCCUGGGAGACCAAUGAUACCCUGUUCUCAGUGGUAGCACUGCCGUGGCUCGGUGAGGGGGAGCACGUGAUGGACGUUGUGGUGGAAAACAGCGCCAGCCGGGCCAACCUCAGCCUGCGGGUGACGGCGGAGGAGCCCAUCUGUGGCCUCCGCGCCACGCCCAGCCCCGAGGCCCGUGUACUGCAGGGAGUCCCAGUGAGGUACAGCCCCGUGGUGGAGGCCGGCUCGGACAUGGUCUUCUGGUGGACCAUCAACGACAAGCAGUCCCUGACCUUCCAGAACGUGGUCUUCAAUGUCAUUUAUCAGAGCGCGGCGGUCUUCAAGCUCUCACUGACGGCCUCCAACCACGUGAGCAACGUCACCGUGAACUACAACAUCACCGUGGAGCGGAUGAACAGGAUGCAGGGCCUGCGGGUCUCUACAGUGCCAGCCGUGCUGUCCCCCAAUGCCACGCUGGCACUGACGGCGGGCGUGCUGGUGGACUCGGCCGUGGAGGUGGCCUUCCUGUGGACCUUUGGGGAUGGGGAGCAGGCCCUCCACCAGUUCCAGCCUCCAUACAACGAGUCCUUCCCGGUUCCAGACCCCUCGGUGGCCCAGGUGCUGGUGGAGCACAAUGUCACCCACACCUACGCUGCCCCAGGUGCUGAUCCGCAGUGGCCGGGUGCCCAUUGUGUCCUUGGAGUGUGUGUCCUGCAAGGCACAGGCCGUGUACGAAGUGAGCCGCAGCUCCUACGUGUACCUGGAGGGCCGCUGCCUCAAUUGCAGCAGCGGCUCCAAGCGAGGGCGGUGGGCUGCACGUACGUUCAGCAACAAGACGCUGGUGCUGGAUGAGACCACCACAUCCACGGGCAGCGCAGGCAUGUGACUGGUGCUGCGGCGGGGCGUGCUGCGGGACGGCGAGGGAUACACCUUCACGCUGACGGUGCUGGGCCGCUCUGGCGAGGAGGAGGGCUGCGCCUCCAUCCCCCUGUCCCCCAACCGCCCGCCGCUGGGGGGCUCUUGCCGCCUCUUCCCACUGGGCGCUGUGCACGCUCUCACCACCAAGGUGCACUUCGAAUGCAUGGGCUGGCAUGACGCGGAGGAUGCUGGCGCCCCGCUGGUGUACGCCCUGCUGCUGCAGCGCUGUCGCCAGGGCCACUGCGAGGAGUUCUGUGUCUACAAGGGCAGCCUCUCCGGCUACGGAGCCGUGCUGCCCCCGGGUUUCAGGCCACACUUCGAGGUGGGCCUGGCCGUGGUGGUGCAGGACCAGCUGGGAGCCGCUGUGGUCGCCCUCAACAGGUCUCUGGCCAUCACCCUCCCAGAGCCCAACGGCAGCGCAAUGGGGCUCACAGUCUGGCUGCACGGGCUCACCGCUAGUGUGCUCCCGGGGCUGCUGCGGCAGGCCGAUCCCCAGCACGUCAUCGAGUACUCGCUGGCCCUGGUCACUGUGCUGAACGAGUACGAGCGGGCCCUGGACGUGGCGGCAGAGCCCAAGCACGAGCGGCAGCGCCGAGCCCAGAUACGCAAGAACAUCACGGAGACUCUGGUGUCCCUGAGGGUCCACACUGUGGAUGACAUCCAGCAGAUCGCUGCUGCGCUGGCCCAGUGCAUGGGGCCCAGCAGGGAGCUCGUAUGCCGCUCGUGCCUGAAGCAGACGCUGCACAAGCUGGAGGCCAUGAUGCGCAUCCUGCAGGCAGAGACCACCGCGGGCACCGUGACGCCCACCGCCAUCGGAGACAGCAUCCUCAACAUCACAGGAGACCUCAUCCACCUGGCCAGCUCAGACGUGCGGGCACCACAGCGCUCAGAGCUGGGAGCCGAGUCACCAUCGCGGAUGGUGGCGUCCCAGGCCUACAACCUGACCUCUGCCCUCACGCCCAUCCUCACGCGCUCCCGCGUGCUCAACGAGGAGCCCCUGACGCUGGCGGGCUUUCAGCAGGGCCCCGGCCAACCUCAGUGACGUGGUGCAGCUCAUCUUUCUGGUGGACUCCAAUCCCUUUCCCUUUGGCUAUAUCAGCAACUACACCGUCUCCACCAAGGUGGCCUCGAUGGCGUUCCAGACACAGGCCGGCGCCCAGAUCCCCAUCGAGCGGCUGGCCUCAGAGCGCGCCUCACCGUGAAGGCCGCUACCUGUCUGAGGAACCCGAGCCCUACCUGGCAGUCUACCUGCACUCGGAGCCCCGGCCCAAUGAGCGCAACUGCUCGGCUAGCAGGAGGAUCCGCCCAGAGUCCCUCCAGGGUGCCGACCACCGGCCCUACACCUUCUUCAUUUCCCCGGGGACCAGAGACCCAGUGGGGAGUUACCGUCUGAACCUCUCCAGUCACUUCCGCUGGUCGGCGCUGGAGGUGUCCGUGGGCUUGUACACGUCCCUGUGCCAGUACUUCAGCGAGGAGGACGUGGUGUGGCGGACAGAGGGGCUGCUGCCCCUGGAGGAGACCUCGCCCCGCCAGGCCGUCUGCCUCACCCGCCACCUCACCGCCUUCGGCACCAGCCUCUUCGUGCCCCCAAGCCAUAUCCGCUUUGUGUUUCCUGAGCCAACAGCGGAUGUAAACUACAUCGUCAUGCUGACAUGUGCUGUGUGCCUGGUGACCUACAUGGUCAUGGCCGCCAUCCUGCACAAGCUGGACCAGUUGGAUGCCAGCCGGGGCCGCGCCAUCCCCUUCUGUGGGCAGCGGGGCCGCUUCAAGUACGAGAUCCUCGUCAAGACAGGCUGGGGCCGGGGCUCAGGUACCACGGCCCACGUGGGCAUCAUGCUGUAUGGGGUGGACAGCCGGAGCGGCCACCGGCACCUGGACGGCGACAGAGCCUUCCACCGCAACAGUCUGGACAUCUUCCAGAUCGCCACCCCGCACAGCCUGGGUAGCGUGUGGAAGAUCCGAGUGUGGCACGACAACAAAGGGCUCAGCCCUGCCCGGUUCCUGCAGCACAUCAUCGUCAGGGACCUGCAGACGGCACGCAGCACCUUCUUCCUGGUCAAUGACUGGCUUUCGGUGGAGACGGAGGCCAACGGGGGCCUGGUGGAGAAGGAGGUGCUGGCCGCGAGUCACGCAGCCCUGUUGCGCUUCCGGCGCCUGCUGGUGGCUGAGCUGCAGCGUGGCUUCUUUGACAAGCACAUCUGGCUCUCCAUAUGGGACCGGCCGCCUCGUAGCUAUUUCACUCACAUCCAGAGGGCCACCUGCUGCGUUCUCCUCAUCUGUCUCUUCCUGGGCGCCAACGCCGUGUGGUACGGGGCUGUUGGAGACUCUGCCUACAGCACGGGGCGUGUGUCCAGGCUGAACCCGCUGAGCGUCGACACAGUCGCUGUUGGCCUGGUGUCCAGCGUGGUUGUCUAUCCCGUCUACCUGGCCAUCCUCUUUCUCUUCCGGAUGUCCCGGAGCAAGGUGGCUGGGAGCCCGAGCCCCACACCUGCCGGGCAGCAGGUGCUGGACGUCGACAGCUGCCUGGACUCAUCCGUGCUGGACAGCUCCUUCCUCACGUUCUGAGGCCUCCACGCUGAGGUGAGGGCUCUACUGGGGGUCCUGCCGCCUUGGCGCAGCUUGGACUCAAGACCCUGUGCACCUCUCAGCAGGCCUUUGCUGGACAGAUGAAGAGUGACUUGUUUCUGGAUGAUUCUAAGAGUGACCUUGAGGAACCCUGGGAGCUCAGGAAGGAAGGAGCGCCCAGAAGCAGGGACAGGGAGCUGGUUGGGGAGGACCAGAAAUCAGGUUAUCAAUACUCUGGCUGACCAUCGUCAUCGUGGGACUGACUUUGGUGGAAGUCCUUGGUUACUUAUCAUUACUGUGUUUCUGAGAAGUUAUAAAUUUGCCAUCUCCCUCUGCACAAGUUACCUUUGUGUGUCUUUCCUGAAGACUAUCUUCCCGUCUCAAAAUGGACAUGAUGGAUCCACGGAUGUACAGCAGAGAGCCAGGAGGUCCAACCGCCGUAGACAGGAAGGAAUUAAAAUUGUCCUGGAAGACAUCUUUACUUUAUGGAGACAGGUGGAAACCAAAGUUCGAGCUAAAAUCCGUAAGAUGAAGGUGACAACAAAAGUCAACCGUCAUGACAAAAUCAAUGGAAAGAGGAAGACCGCCAAAGAACAUCUGAGGAAACUAAGCAUGAAAGAACGUGAGCACGGAGAAAAGGAGAGGCAGGUGUCAGAGGCAGAGGAAAAUGGGAAAUUGGAUAUGAAAGAAAUACACACCUACAUGGAAAUGUUUCAACGUGCGCAAGCGUUGCGGCGGCGGGCAGAGGACUACUACAGAUGCAAAAUCACCCCUUCUGCAAGAAAGCCUCUUUGCAACCGGUGCACUUACAAUUUGGUAUUACCUGGGAGUGAAAAGAAAUAUUACAGCCAUGCCUAACUGACUUCUUGAGGUCAGAAUGGCGGCAGUGGAGCAUCGUCAUUCUUCAGGAUUGCCCUACUGGCCCUACCUCACAGCUGAAACUUUAAAAAACAGGAUGGGCCACCAGCCACCUCCUCCAACUCAACAACAUUCUAUAAUUGAUAACUCCCUGAGCCUCAAGACACCUUCCGAGUGUCUGCUCACUCCCCUUCCACCCUCAGCUCUACCCUCAGCGGAUGAUAAUCUCAAGACACCUGCGGAGUGUCUGCUCUAUCCCCUUCCACCCUCAGCGGAUGAUAAUCUCAAGACACCUCCCGAGUGUCUGCUCACUCCCCUUCCACCCUCAGCUCCACCCUCAGUGGAUGAUAAUCUCAAGACACCUCCCGAGUGUGUCUGCUCACUCCCCUUCCACCCUCAGCGGAUGAUAAUCUCAAGAAACUAAGGAAGAAUAAAUAAAUAAUAUAAAAAUAAAAUGAA
This is an RNA transcript of Homo sapiens (human), 7365 nucleotides long. It is a transcript of the gene named PKD1P3-NPIPA1 readthrough, with no coding region annotated. The record is from RefSeq and is marked validated. The transcript has 39 exons. NCBI's taxonomy places the organism in Eukaryota, Metazoa, Chordata, Mammalia, Primates, Hominidae.